UAGGGAAUCUUCCGCAAUGGGCGAAAGCCUGACGGAGCAACGCCGCGUGAGUGAUGAAGGUCUUCGGAUCGUAAAACUCUGUUAUUAGGGAAGAACAAAUGUGUAAGUAACUAUGCACGUCUUGACGGUACCUAAUCAGAAAGCCACGGCUAACUACGUGCCAGCAGCCGCGGUAAUACGUAGGUGGCAAGCGUUAUCCGGAAUUAUUGGGCGUAAAGCGCGCGUAGGCGGUUUUUUAAGUCUGAUGUGAAAGCCCACGGCUCAACCGUGGAGGGUCAUUGGAAACUGGUUGACUUGAGUGCAGAAGAGGAGAGUGGAAUUCCAUGUGUAGCGGUGAAAUGCGUAGAUAUAUGGAGGAACACCAGUGGCGAAGGCGACUCUCUGGUCUGUAACUGACGCUGAGGCUCGAAAGCGUGGGUAGCAAACAGG
This 429-nucleotide ribosomal RNA is filed under the name Bacteroidota bacterium. RNAcentral's name for it is "Bacteroidetes bacterium partial 16S ribosomal RNA". It matches the Rfam family "Bacterial small subunit ribosomal RNA", at positions 355 to 776 of the family's 1533-position model. Lineage: Bacteria; Pseudomonadati; Bacteroidota. The record is from RNAcentral.